Molecule: ribosomal RNA, 423 nt
Filed under: uncultured bacterium
Lineage: Bacteria
Description: bacterial SSU rRNA
Rfam family: Bacterial small subunit ribosomal RNA
Source: RNAcentral
GGAAUAUUGGACAAUGGGGGCAACCCUGAUCCAGCGACGCCGCGUGUGUGAAGAAGGCCUGCGGGUUGUAAAGCACUUUUAGUGGGGAUGAAAAGCACACUCUUAAUACUGGUGUGUCUUGACCUAACCCAAAGAAAAAGCAACGGCUAACUCUGGGCCAGCAGCCGCGGUAAUACAGAGGGUGCGAGCGUUAAUCGGAAUUACUGGGCGUAAAGCGUGCGUAGACGGUUAUUUAAGUCGGGUGUGAAAGCCCCGGGCUCAACCUGGGAAUUGCAUUCGAGACUGAAUAGCUAGGGUACGGUAGAGGGAAGUGGAAUUUCCGGUGUAGCGGUGAAAUGCGUAGAUAUCGGAAGGAACAUCAGUGGCGAAAGCGACUUCCUGGACUAGUACCGACGUUCAGGCACGAAAGCGUGGGGAGCAAAC